CCUACGGGGGGCUGCAGUGAGGAAUAUUGGUCAAUGGACGAGAGUCUGAACCAGCCAAGUAGCGUGAAGGAUGACUGCCCUAUGGGUUGUAAACUUCUUUUAUAUGGGAAUAAAAUGUUCCACGUGUGGGAUUUUGUAUGUACCAUAUGAAUAAGGAUCGGCUAACUCCGUGCCAGCAGCCGCGGUAAUACGGAGGAUCCGAGCGUUAUCCGGAUUUAUUGGGUUUAAAGGGAGCGUAGGUGGAUUGUUAAGUCAGGUGUGAAAGUUUGCGGCUCAACCGUAAAAUUGCAGUGGAAACUGGCAGUCUUGAGUACAGUAGAGGUGGGCGGAAUUCGUGGUGUAGCGGUGAAAUGCUUAGAUAUAACGAAGAACUCCGAUGGCGAAGGCAGUUCACUGGACUGCAACUGACACUGAGGCUCGAAAGUGUGGGUAUCAAACAGGAUUAGAUACCCGGGUAGUC
This 460-nucleotide ribosomal RNA is filed under the name uncultured bacterium. RNAcentral's name for it is "partial 16S ribosomal RNA". It matches the Rfam family "Bacterial small subunit ribosomal RNA", at positions 338 to 795 of the family's 1533-position model. The record is from RNAcentral.